GACGAACGCUGGCGGCGUGCUUAACACAUGCAAGUCGAGCGAUGAAGUUUCUUCGGAAAUGGAUUAGCGGCGAACGGGUGAGGAACGCGUGAAGAAUCUGCCCUCCACUUUGGGAUAACACCGGGAAACCGGUGCUAAUACUGAAUAUUGAAACAUAAGUGGCAUCACUGAGUUUUGAAAGAAUUUCGGUGGAGGAUGACUUCGCGGCCUAUUAGCUAGUUGGUGAGGUAAUGGCUCACCAAGGCAACGACGGGUAGCCGGCGUGAGAGGGGGACCGGGCACGCUGGGACUGAGACACGGCCCAGACUCCUACGGGAGGCAGCAGUGGGGAAUAUUGGGCAAUGGAGGAAACUCUAGCCCAGGGACGCCGCGUGCAGGAUGAAGGCCUUCGGGUUGUAAACCGCUUUCAGUAGGGAAGAAGCGAAAGUGACGGUACCUACAAAAGAAGCACCGGCUAACUAUGUGCCAGCCGCCGCCGUAA
RNAcentral lists this ribosomal RNA (481 nucleotides) under uncultured bacterium. RNAcentral's name for it is "partial 16S ribosomal RNA". It matches the Rfam family "Bacterial small subunit ribosomal RNA", at positions 28 to 523 of the family's 1533-position model. The record is from RNAcentral.